AUUGGAAGGCAGUGUGGAUGCCAAGAACCAGGUUGUUAUGGAGGGAUAUUUGUUCAAGAGGGCCAGUAAUUUUUUUAAGACAUGGAACAGGCGCUGGUUCCUAAUUCAAAACAAUCAGCUAAUAUACAAGAAGAAGUAUAAGAACUCAACUGUGGUGAUGGAAGAUCUACGCAUGUGCACGUCUGAACA
Trichomycterus rosablanca is the source of this 189-nucleotide long non-coding RNA. RefSeq lists it as uncharacterized. The record is from RefSeq and is a predicted model, not a curated record. Lineage: Eukaryota; Metazoa; Chordata; Actinopteri; Siluriformes; Trichomycteridae. The transcript is spliced from 3 exons.